GAGGGGAAACGACAUCGAAAGCUUGCUUUUGAUGGGCGUCGACCGGCGCACGGGUGAGUAACGCGUAUCCAACCUGCCCAUCACUUGGGAAUAACCUUGCGAAAGUAAGACUAAUGCCCAAUGAUAUCCCACGAAGGCAUCCGAAUGGGAUUAAAGAUUUAUCGGUGAUGGAUGGGGAUGCGUCUGAUUAGCUUGUUGGCGGGGUAACGGCCCACCAAGGCAACGAUCACUAGGGGUUCUGAGAGGAAGGUCCCCCACUUUGCAACUGAGACACGGUCCAAACUCCUACGGGAGGCAGCAGUGAGGAAUAUUGGUCAAUGGGCGAGAGCCUGAACCAGNNNNNNNNCGUGCAGGAUGACGGCCCUAUGGGUU
RNAcentral lists this ribosomal RNA (372 nucleotides) under Prevotellaceae bacterium. RNAcentral's name for it is "partial 16S ribosomal RNA". It matches the Rfam family "Bacterial small subunit ribosomal RNA", at positions 64 to 424 of the family's 1533-position model. The record is from RNAcentral. Lineage: Bacteria; Pseudomonadati; Bacteroidota; Bacteroidia; Bacteroidales; Prevotellaceae.